RNAcentral lists this long non-coding RNA (341 nucleotides) under Gossypium raimondii (Peruvian cotton). Its description in RNAcentral is "long non-coding RNA (GRAI_LNC004551)". The record is from RNAcentral. Lineage: Eukaryota; Viridiplantae; Streptophyta; Magnoliopsida; Malvales; Malvaceae.
GUUGGGUAAAUUACAUUAGAAUGGGUCUGCUGGUUUGGGGGUUAAAUGGUGUGUUAUUAUGGUGAGGUCUUGUGUUUCAAUCCCUAUGUCGGUAAGGGUAUUAUUUUUUGCUCAGAUUUCGGGAUAGAGUUGUGUCAUAGGGGGCUUCUAAGUAGUGGAUGUGUAGUGGGAAUUACAGGAGAAUAUUAAGGGAUUUUGGGGGUUAUCGGGAUUUUAUUUUAUUUUUUUCCCAUAACUGAAUUUUGACUCUCUUUUCCAAAAAAAAUUCUGCCAUCUAUUCUUCUCCCUCUCCUCUUUCCUAAACUCUCAGUUUUUCUAUCUUUCUCUUCUUUUUCUUCUUC